AGACGACACUCGGGAUCUUUCUUAGAGC
RNAcentral lists this small RNA (28 nucleotides) under Bombyx mori (domestic silkworm). RNAcentral describes it as "piRNA piR-bmo-1544460". Lineage: Eukaryota; Metazoa; Arthropoda; Insecta; Lepidoptera; Bombycidae. The record is from RNAcentral.